Molecule: ribosomal RNA, 446 nt
Filed under: Apanteles anticlea
Lineage: Eukaryota; Metazoa; Arthropoda; Insecta; Hymenoptera; Braconidae
Description: partial 16S ribosomal RNA
Source: RNAcentral
UCACCUGUUUUUCAAAAACAUGUCUUAAAGAAAUUUAAUUUUAAGUCAAAUCUGCUCAAUGAAUUUUUAAUUUUAAUAGCUGCAGUAUUAAUAACUGUACUAAGGUAGCAUAAUAAUUUGUUUUUUAAUUUAAAACUAGAAUGAAUGAUUUAAUGAAAUAUAAACUGUCUCAAAAUAAAAUAAUAAAAUUAUUUUUUAAGUUAAAAAACUUAAAUUUUCUUUAAAGACGAGAAGACCCUAUAGAAUUUUAAUAUUUUUAUAUCUUAAAUAUUUAGACAUAAAAAUAUUUUAAUUGGGGAAAUUUUAAAAUUUAAUUAAUUUUUAAUUAAAUAAAACAUUUAUUUAUGAAUAAUUUUUAUUUUUUAAAAAAAUAAAAUAAAUUACCUUAGGGAUAACAGCAUAAUUUUUUUAAAAAGUUCAAAUUUAUAUUAAAGUUUAUGACCUCG